RNAcentral lists this ribosomal RNA (433 nucleotides) under uncultured bacterium. Its description in RNAcentral is "partial 16S ribosomal RNA". It matches the Rfam family "Bacterial small subunit ribosomal RNA", at positions 29 to 507 of the family's 1533-position model. The record is from RNAcentral.
AACGAACGCUGGCGGCAUGCCUAACACAUGCAAGUCGAACGAGACCUUCGGGUCUAGUGGCGCACGGGUGCGUAACGCGUGGGAACCUGCCCUUAGGUUCGGAAUAACUCCCCGAAAGGGGUGCUAAUACCGGAUAAUGUCUUCGGACCAAAGAUUUAUCGCCUUUGGAUGGGCCCGCGUUGGAUUAGCUAGUUGGUAGGGUAAAAGCCUACCAAGGCGACGAUCCAUAGCUGGUCUGAGAGGAUGAUCAGCCACACUGGGACUGAGACCCGGCCCAGACUCCUACGGGAAGCAGCAGUGGGGAAUAUUGGACAAUGGGCGAAAGCCUGAUCCAGCAAUGCCGCGUGAGUGAUGAAGGCCUGAGGGUUGUAAAGCUCGUUUACCCGGGAUGAUAAUGACAGUACCGGGAGAAUAAGCUCCGGCUAACUCCGUG